GCAUAAACUUAGGGAAAAUGAGUGACC
This 27-nucleotide non-coding RNA is filed under the name Mus musculus (house mouse). Lineage: Eukaryota; Metazoa; Chordata; Mammalia; Rodentia; Muridae. The record is from RNAcentral.